Molecule: non-coding RNA, 21 nt
Filed under: Arabidopsis thaliana (thale cress)
Lineage: Eukaryota; Viridiplantae; Streptophyta; Magnoliopsida; Brassicales; Brassicaceae
Source: RNAcentral
UUGUAAUUGAUUCUGGUCACC